GAUCGGCCCGCGUCUGAUUAGCUAGGUGGUGGGGUAAUGGCCUACCAAGGCAACGAUCCGUAGCUGGUCUGAGAGGAUGAUCAGCCACACUGGGACUGAGACACGGCCCAGACUCCUACGGGAGGCAGCAGUGGGGAGUAUUGGACAAUGGGGGCAACCCUGAUCCAGCAAUGCCGCGUGAGUGAUGAAGGCCUUAGGGUUGUAAAGCUCUUUCGGCGGGGACGAUGAUGACGGUACCCGCAGAAGAAGCCCCGGCUAACUUCGUGCCAGCAGCCGCGGUAAUACGAAGGGGGCGAGCGUUGUUCGGAAUUACUGGGCGUAAAGGGCGCGCAGGCGGCUCUGAAAGUCAGAUGUGAAAGCCCCGGGCUUAACCUGGGAACUGCAUUUGAUACUCUGGAGCUUGAGUGUGGGAGAGGAGAGUGCAAUUCCCAGUGUAAAGGUGAAAUUCGUAGAUAUUGGGAAGAACACCGGUGGCGAAGGCGGCUCUCUGGACCACAACUGAAGCUGAAGCGCGUGAGCGUGGGGAGCAAACAGGAAUAGAUACCCUGGUAGUCCACGCCGUAAACGAUGUGCGCCUGACGUUUGGAAGCUUUAUCCUUUCCGGGGCCCAACUAAAGCGAUAAACGCACCGCCUGGGGGA
RNAcentral lists this ribosomal RNA (640 nucleotides) under uncultured Alphaproteobacteria bacterium. RNAcentral's name for it is "bacterial SSU rRNA". It matches the Rfam family "Bacterial small subunit ribosomal RNA", at positions 224 to 880 of the family's 1533-position model. Lineage: Bacteria; Pseudomonadati; Pseudomonadota; Alphaproteobacteria. The record is from RNAcentral.